UUGGGAGAAUGUUAUAACAUAAGGUAAAUUACUGCCAGGUGAGACCGAAGACUGAACAUUCACUAGGAUGUUGGCGUAAUCGUUGUUAGCGACCCGUCUUGAAACACGGACCAAGGAGUCGACCAAUCUGGCAAGUUUUAGGGCGUAAACCCCUGAAGCGCAAUGAAAGUGAACGUAGGUGGGAGCCUUUGGGUGCACCAUCGACCGAUCCUGAUGUCUUCGGAUGGAUUUGAGUAUGAGCCCGGCUGGUCGGACCCGAAAGAUGGUGAACUAUGCGUGAAUAGGGUGAAGCCAGAGGAAACUCUGGUGGAGGCUCGCAGCGGUUCUGACGUGCAAAUCGAUCGUCAAAUUUGCGCAUAGGGGCGAAAGACUAAUCGAACUUCU
Molecule: ribosomal RNA, 384 nt
Filed under: Ocellularia sp. Kalb 39099
Lineage: Eukaryota; Fungi; Ascomycota; Lecanoromycetes; Ostropales; Graphidaceae
Description: eukaryotic LSU rRNA
Rfam family: Eukaryotic large subunit ribosomal RNA
Source: RNAcentral